GGUAACGUAUUGGAAACGAUAGCUAAUACCGCAUAAGAGUAGAUGUUGCAUGACAUUUGCUUAAAAGGUGCAAUUGCACCACUACCAGAUGGACCUGCGUUGUAUUAGCUAGUUGGUGGGGUAACGGCUCACCAAGGCGACGAUACAUAGCCGACCUGAGAGGGUGAUCGGCCACACUGGGACUGAGACACGGCCCAG
This 198-nucleotide ribosomal RNA is filed under the name uncultured Streptococcaceae bacterium. RNAcentral describes it as "partial 16S ribosomal RNA". It matches the Rfam family "Bacterial small subunit ribosomal RNA", at positions 141 to 334 of the family's 1533-position model. Lineage: Bacteria; Bacillati; Bacillota; Bacilli; Lactobacillales; Streptococcaceae. The record is from RNAcentral.